Molecule: long non-coding RNA, 3654 nt
Filed under: Nicotiana benthamiana
Lineage: Eukaryota; Viridiplantae; Streptophyta; Magnoliopsida; Solanales; Solanaceae
Description: long non-coding RNA (NBEN_LNC036674)
Source: RNAcentral
UGAAAUACACGGUUAAAAUAAAUAAGGUAAGAAUAAAUUACACAGUAAAUCAAGGAGCCAAAGGUUUCUAAUUAUUGGUCCAUGAAUGAACCAAGUCAGAAAAGCUAAGGAAAUUCUUCGACCAAGACCAAGUAACGCGGAAAUCCGUAAAUAAGGAAAGAAACCGAUCAGACUUACACAAAGGAAGUCUGAAAUCAUACAAAAGAAAUUGAAAGUCAUUUAGAGGGGAAGUUUAGCACAUUUAAAGAGAAAACCAGUAUUAGGCAUGCGAGGCUGAAUUUAGGACAAAGAAAAAAUGUCAUGCAAUUUCCAAAUAAGUAAGUAGUAGACAAUAGGGACAUGGUAAUCACAGGGUAACUCAAUAAUGGAGAAGAGAGAGUAUCAAAUAGCAUACAAAGGAUUCAGUAUAAAGACCUUAGAAGAGUUUAGGAAGGAAUCAGAAUCUCUUAAAGAAAUAAAGGUUGAAACAAAGAUUUUGAAACUUAAUUGAGCAUAGAUGAAACAACUUUAGAAACUCGAAAUAGGUCCAAAGAAGUUAUGGUUUUGAAACCAAACGAGUUUAGAGAUGAAGAACAAGCAAAUCACAUAGCCAAUGAUCUUAAAACUUGGAUGAACCCUCAAAGUCUAGGGUCUUUACCAUUAGUCGAUUGUAGAGGAAAAAGAAAGUAAAUCAGGUAGAAAUACUAACUAAAUAAGUUCAGAGGUCUCAAAAGGAACUGAGGCCUUUAACCUGCAUUUUUCAUAAGGAGAAACAAAUAUGAAACAUAAUAGAAGAACAACAUGCGAAACGCGAUAGAGGAAUUUAUAAGAACAUAGUAGAAGAAACACAUGGGAAAAAAGUGGAAGAACUAGUAAGAACACAGUAGAAGAAACAUUUAAAGAAGCACAAUAGAAGAGACUAAUAAGAAACAUAGCACAAGAAACACACAAGGAAACACAGUAGAAGAAACUAAUAAGAAAUAUAGUAGAAGAAACACACAAGAGAAAAAGAAAAUCAGAGAAACAUAUAAAUAACUUAACAAAAACCCCAAAUCGGGAAAAGUAAAGGUUUUGAAAGUAUAGUUAUUUGAAAGAAAUUUGGGGAAACCGUUUAAAAACUCAGGGAAAACACGGAUGCAGAACAAUCUAAAAAAUCAUAAGAACCUCAAAAAUUAGGGUUUCCGAGGGAACCCCAAUGGUGAGAAAGGCUUGGAUAGUCGUUGAUCUAAGUAGGAGGAGUCGAGGUCAGGCUCGAACAACUAUGGUUUGUCGGAGCAAGGCUGAAGAUGGCCAUAGAAAUUGAAUCAAACAAGGUCUGGGCAAAGCAACUUCGUGGUCAGGCCUUAAAAGUUAGUAAUCAAGAGUGUAGGAGUCAUAGAAGGCCGGUAGGUGGUGAGACCACCAUGGAUUCAGGCAAGGCGAGCCGGAGCAAGGCUGGAGAUGGCCGUAGAACUCGAAUCAAAUGAAGGCUGGACCAAGCUUCUUCGUGGUCAGGCCUUGAAUCUUUAGGAACCAGGCGGGUAGGAGUUGUAUGAGUUUGGUAUAAGACUUUGAUGGACAUAGAAGCCAUAGGUUCAGGUGAUUUUAGGGUGGAAUAAAGGGAGUCGGCCAGGGUUUCAGAGAGAGAGCUUGGGCAAGUGGGAAUCCAGGGGCGGUUACUGGUGAGAAAUGAGUAGGGUUUGGGGGGUAUUGGUAAAUUAAAAAGGAAAGGAAGAGUGUGAGCACAGCUUGAAUUAAAAGGGGGAUAAGGUGGGUUAUUUUAAAGGGUCAUGGGUUGGGUAGAUUUAAGAAUUGGGCUGGGUAAUUGAAAUUAAAAUUGGGUUCAAUUAGGGGAGCCAAAUCUGGCCAAAAUUGAAAUACCAAAGGGCUAAAAUUUAAAUAGCUAUUUUUCCUUAUCUAUUUUAUAAAAACUAGUAAAAUUGUCACACCUCCUUUUGGCUACUACAACCCGGCGAAGGGCAUAGAUAAGGAAGUUUUUUCAACUAAAGGACAAUAGAAACGGGAUUCAAUUAUUUAAGAGAAUUUCAGAGUCGCCAUUUGGGAGAUUUAUGGUGUCCCAAGUCACCGCUUAGAAUCUAUAAUCGAGGAAAGAAUGACUCUGUUUAACAGUCCGCGAACCAAAAAGCCGAGUAAGGAUUAUGUUAACGCGGGAGAAGUUGUUAGGCAUUCCCGGGUUACAUGGUUCUAGCACGGUCGCUCAACUGUUAUAUUUGGCUUAAAUUACCUGAUUUUAUACAAUUAUGAACCUAUGUGCAUUUUUUAAUCUUUUUAACCACUUUUAUUAUUUUUUUAAAAGAGAAUUACAACGUCGUUAAAACAUCUCUCGAACCACGUCACAUAAAUGCACCCGUACUUUUGACACAUUCCAAAUUCGUUGAGAUUAAGAUUUGGGUCACAUAAAUGUGCACCCGAAUUUAGGAGAGGUAAAUUAUUAAUAUAAUGCGCCUAAAGCAACUACGCACUUUUAAGUUUGCGAGGGCCAUGAAAAUUCAACUAAAUGGCAGAUUUAUUAAAGGAAAAGCAAUUAGUUAAACUAUGGUUAUUUAUUAUUACAACUAAUUAAAUUAGGAAUCACAACCAUGCCACGGAAACCGUAUCAAUAGUUGCAACGAUUUAAGUUUAAAGCAAAAUUCAAAUAUUUAUUAAUCCGAAUUUUAAGCCCAAAUCCCCACAGUCCAAUUCAAUAUCCAAAAAAUUUCUUUACAUUUUUUUUAUCCAAACCAUAAAGUUUGAGACAUACGGUGCAAUACCAUGAUGGAUGCCUAAUGUUCAACUAAAAUAAAUGAAAGGCACAAUAGUUAUUUUCAUUUUUUAAAUAACAAAUCAUUUAUUUCUGGACAACUUGGCGGAUAACACCCAUCCCCUAGUGAUGUUCCUUUUCUACUCCCUUGUUUCCAGACCAAAAAAAUAAUUUAAAAUGUUCAGCAUCACAAAAGAGUUCAGACUAGAAUUCAGUAGAUACAAGGACGGUUUAAUUACUAAGAAACUCUAUCAGACUUGAGAUUUACAAACGGCAACAAUAAAUUGAGAACAAAUUUUAGCUCAAUACUCAGAACCAAGCUAAGAACACUAGUCUAAUUCAUUCAACUUGAUUAAGUCAAAACGAUCUAGUCUAAGUUUAGUUAUAACUCGAACUUUUUUCAAAAUUUUCAGCACAUAUGGACCUUAAGCUCAUCACAGCCACUCUAUUGGCCAGAAUUAAGCAUUCUUCGCAAAUUCGAUACAUUUGUAAUUCCCCACCAGAAUUUGACGACACUGAUAUAAGCUAAACAGGUUUAAAUUUUCUAACAUGCAAAUAACUCAGAAAAGGAUUCAACCGUAUAAAGAUAACAAAUGUAUCGAAAUAUCAUGGAGAGGAAUAAAAGACACUGUUCAAAUUAUGUCCAAGUAAUACUUGAAUUCAUAGUUGAAUACCUGGUUGGGAAAUAAACAAUUGAAAGAGCCAAAGAAAAAACACAACAAAGAGGUCUGAAGUUCAGCAAACACGAGUAGAAAUUAGACUGGAACCUCGAGCAAUAGCUGGGAACUCGACGCGGCACCGUGAAUCUCGAAUCGAACAUGAACUCAAACCCAAAUCUCAGUCAAAUUCCAUUUUUGCGACAAACCCAGUCAAAGAUCCUCUCCCUCCGUCCCGAUUUCUGUUCAUUCUCUCUGCUCUGUGUAUGUAUGCGUGUU